Molecule: small nuclear RNA, 136 nt
Organism: Lutra lutra (Eurasian river otter)
Lineage: Eukaryota; Metazoa; Chordata; Mammalia; Carnivora; Mustelidae
Product: U4 spliceosomal RNA
Exons: 1
Source: RefSeq, a predicted model, not a curated record
AGCUUUGCACAGUGGCAGUAUCGUAGCCAAUGAGUUUAUCCGAGGCGCGAUUAUUGCUAAUUAAAACAAAGAGAGGAAUUACUAUACCUUUUGCCUGAAGUUAGAAUGAUAAUAUUAAUGUGAAGAAAAAUAUUGC